This 326-nucleotide ribosomal RNA is filed under the name uncultured eukaryote. RNAcentral's name for it is "partial 18S ribosomal RNA". It matches the Rfam family "Eukaryotic small subunit ribosomal RNA", at positions 1470 to 1796 of the family's 1831-position model. The record is from RNAcentral.
CCCUUAGAUGUUCUGGGCUGCACGCGCGCUACACUGAUGCGCUCAACGAGUUUACGACCUUGCCCGGAAGGGUUGGGUAAUCUUUUUAAAACGCAUCGUGAUGGGGAUAGAUUAUUGCAAUUAUUAAUCUUUAACGAGGAAUUCCUAGUAAGCGCGAGUCAUCAGCUCGUGCUGAUUACGUCCCUGCCCUUUGUACACACCGCCCGGCGCUCCUACCGAUUGAGUGAUCCGGUGAAUAAUUCGGACUGCAGCAGUGUUCAGUUCCUGAACGUUGCAGCGGAAAGUUUAGUGAACCUUAUCACUUAGAGGAAGGAGAAGUCGUAACA